UACGUAGGCAGCAAGCGUUGUUCGGAGUUACUGGGCGUAAAGGGUGUGUAGGCGGUUGGAUAAGAGGGGUGUGAAAUCUCCCGGCUCAACUGGGAGGGUGCGCCGAAUACUGAAAGACUAGAGUGCGGGAGAGGAAAGUGGAAUUCCUGGUGUAGCGGUGAAAUGCGUAGAUAUCAGGAGGAACACCGGUGGUGUAGACGGCUUUCUGGACCGUAACUGACGCUGAGACACGAAAGCGUGGGUAGCAAACAGG
Molecule: ribosomal RNA, 253 nt
Filed under: uncultured bacterium
Lineage: Bacteria
Description: partial 16S ribosomal RNA
Rfam family: Bacterial small subunit ribosomal RNA
Source: RNAcentral